GUGUCAGGGGCAGCUGCUGGAAGGAGGCGCAAGCACCACGGAGAGUCUGGGAUGCCCAGCCAAGGAGCCCUGGAAGGGUUGCCCUGGGGACUGACACUGUGGGCUCUGUGUUUUAGCCAAGUCACCCAGGCAGCUGAACAGAAGAUGGACUGGAGGGAGAAGCCUGGAUGUAGGAUCGCUCAGCAACAAAGGAGCCAGAAAAGGCAAGGUGUACACACCGUGUGCAGCAUGGGCGAGCUGCAGGCAUGCAGGUAAGAGUGUGUGCAUGCAGGUGUGUGCACACGAGUUUGCAUGUGCUGAUGCAGAUGGCUAUGAUGCGUGGUGGUGAUAUAUACAUGUGGAUGCUUAUGGAUCUGUGCCAACCAUUAUUAAGCACAUAUGUAUACCCGUGUGUGUAUAUGCAUGCAUGUGUUUGUGUGAGUUGCAAUGUGUAUACAACUUUACACAAUAAGUGAAUUGAGUACAUGUACCUGUUUAUCCACGGAAGUGUAUGAUGACUGGACAUAUGUAAAUAUGUGUAUUUGCAUGUGUUUAUACUUUGUGCAUAGAUGCAUGUUUGUGUAUUUAUGCUGAUCCAUUUAAGCGUAUGGGAUGUGUGUGGAUGUUUGUGUAACAUCUGUACAUACUCCAUAGGUGCAUCUUAAUACAGGAAUAUGGGUGCGAUGUGUAUGUGUGUGUGUGUGCCUGUGUGAACAGGUGCGGCUGGAGGUCUAUGAGUGUGUGGAUAGGUAUAUUUGCCUGUGCGCAUGUGCGAUUCACGUGGUGUGAGUGCACAUGGUCGCAGGCAAAUGUCUGUGUGGGCACACACAUGCCCUGUUGCCCUUUUCUGUCUUUUCCUGUUGGGAAAUUACAGAACUUCUGAGUCCUAACCAUGGCUGGUGGCUCUUCCAGGAACAUGGUUUCCUGGACCCAAAAGGUAAGCUUGUCAGGGACCCACGUGAAUGAGGAAGUGGGUGGGCCUGAGUCUGGGGCUCCUCUGAGAACUGCUGUGGACCAGGGAAAUCUUGCUGCCACCUCUGGUCUUUAGUCCACCUCUCAGUAGUAGCUUUCAAAGCUUGAUUUUUUUGGAGGCGUCUCCACGGAGCAUAGUCCUAAGCUCCUAGCCUACAUUGUCCCUGUUCCUGGGCCUGUUUGGUUGACAUUCUCUUACAGUUUAAAAAAGACAUCCACAUCCGUACUCUUAGCUAAUCCUUGUGACCUUUCUUCUAGUCUGUUUGGAGAGGCUGGGAGCAGAGUGGUUAAAAGAGCCAGGCCUGGUUCCAUUUCUGACCCCUCUUCUAGCUGAGCAACUUCCGCCUCUUCCAGCCUCCCUCACGGGAAUCACAGAUCACGUGAGAUGACACCCAUGAAGGGCUUGACUGGCAUCUGGCACAUGGUGAGGACUGCAAAAAUGUGGGCUAUUGUUUUUACUAUUAUCCCCAUUUUAUAGAUGAGGAAACUGAGGCUUGGAGAGGCUCUCUGCCUUUGUCAACCUGGAGAUGCUGGGAAGGAAGUGAGGCCCAUCCCACCUCAGAUGCCUGUCCUCUGUCGUCAGGAGCAUUCUCUUGUUCUUCCGGGCUUGGCCAAGCGGUGGUAAACCCCACAUGUGGUUCUGUGGUUGCCCACACAGUCCUAAAAAUAGCCAACAGGAACCCAGGGGCUCCCCCUUGGUGAGUGGCAGCAGGCCCAGUCCUCAGGCAGCCACCAACCUGCUCACUCCCCACAGGCAAGCAGGUCCUGUCUAGGAAGGGGCUGGGUGGCCUGGGUCCCAUGCAUGAUGAGCCAGAGGCUGUGCCAAGCUUAUAGCAAAUAUUAUUUUAUUUCAUUAUGUUUUCUUACAUCUGUGAUGUGGAGGCCAUAGCUCCACUGGACUCAUGAGGAGACUGAGGCUCAGAGCAAUGAAGUGACCUGCUCAAAGUUAAGGAGCUUCAGUUUGGACCCAAUUUGUUCUGAUCCUAAGGUCACUAUCCUUAAUCCCUCUCCCUGUGGGGUCUUCCCUAUCUUGAGCCUGUGGACAGCUGUGCAGUGGCAAGAAAAAGGCCUUCAGAGCUACGCAGACCUGGCUUCAAAUCCCAGCCUCCCUGAUGAGCCCUGGUGGUCUUGCAUGCUUGCCCUUGGGACUCAGACACCAUAUUGUGAGGAAGCCCAAGCUACAUGCAGAGGCCACUAUAGUUGUUCUGGCCAACAGCCCAAGCUUCAGCUGCCAGACAUAUAAAUAAACCAACUCUUCAAAUGAUUUCAGUUUCCAGACUUCAGUGCAUCCCAGGAGCUGUAACGCUCACUGCGAAGAUCUGCAGCUUCACUCCUGAGCCCAGCGAGACCGUGAACCCACCGGGAGGAACGAA
RNAcentral lists this long non-coding RNA (2324 nucleotides) under Homo sapiens (human). Its description in RNAcentral is "HSALNT0363912". Lineage: Eukaryota; Metazoa; Chordata; Mammalia; Primates; Hominidae. The record is from RNAcentral.